This 439-nucleotide ribosomal RNA is filed under the name uncultured bacterium. RNAcentral describes it as "bacterial SSU rRNA". It matches the Rfam family "Bacterial small subunit ribosomal RNA", at positions 61 to 524 of the family's 1533-position model. The record is from RNAcentral.
GUCGAGCGCCCCGCAAGGGGAGCGGCAGACGGGUGAGUAACGCGUGGGAAUCUACCCAUCUCUACGGAACAACUCCGGGAAACUGGAGCUAAUACCGUAUACGUCCUUAUGGAGAAAGAUUUAUCGGAGAUGGAUGAGCCCGCGUUGGAUUAGCUAGUUGGUGGGGUAAUGGCCUACCAAGGCGACGAUCCAUAGCUGGUCUGAGAGGAUGAUCAGCCACACUGGGACUGAGACACGGCCCAGACUCCUACGGGAGGCAGCAGUCGGGAAUCUUGCACAAUGGGCGAAAGCCUGAUGCAGCAACGCCGUGUGAGCGAUGAAGGCCCUAGGGUCGUAAAGCUCUGUUGUUAGGGACGAAGGGCGAAGGGUUAAUAGCCCUUAGCCUGACGGUACCUAUCGAGGAAGCCCCGGCUAACUACGUGCCAGCAGCCGCGGUAAU